Molecule: long non-coding RNA, 460 nt
Organism: Daphnia pulex (common water flea)
Lineage: Eukaryota; Metazoa; Arthropoda; Branchiopoda; Diplostraca; Daphniidae
Exons: 3
Source: RefSeq, a predicted model, not a curated record
UCAGCUAUACAGCUAUCUUCUUCGUAAAUUACCAAUGAAUUCGUUGGGAAAAAUGUGAAAGGUGCAUGAAGCCAGUACCGUCAACUAUUGUGUUAAAAAUCCUGAUAUCCUACAGAAUAUGUCAUCCAAAUGACAGAGUGGUAACAACCAAUGCUAGCUUUAGUAAAGUAUUGCUGGAACAUAGUCUUCUCAUCUUUUAUUACGAUUCAUCACUAUUAUCGGCUGAAUCAUUCUAUGGGACUUGCCAGAUCGCCAACCCAAGCAUGGACCAAUUUCUCAUUCCAUCUUCUAGAGAACCUUACAUAACGGAUUGGUGGUUUAGUGUGUUUUAGGUUUCCAAUGUACCAUGGUAGACUUUAUGAGAAGUCAUGUUGUUUGAAGAAAAAGGACUAUACAGUCGACAAGGUUCUUUGCUAACCUGCUGGCUGUUACCCUUGAAUCUCCCUGUUUACUUCCUUAC